Molecule: transfer RNA, 64 nt
Filed under: Trigonopterus triradiatus
Lineage: Eukaryota; Metazoa; Arthropoda; Insecta; Coleoptera; Curculionidae
Description: tRNA-Ile
Source: RNAcentral
UAUAGGGUGCCUGAAAAAAGGAUUAUUUUGAUAGAAUAAAUUAUACAAUAACUUGUCCCUGUAA